Oreochromis aureus is the source of this 605-nucleotide long non-coding RNA. NCBI's taxonomy places the organism in Eukaryota, Metazoa, Chordata, Actinopteri, Cichliformes, Cichlidae. The record is from Ensembl.
CGCUGUUAUCCACUCUUUUGCAGGCCUGCUUACAACAAAAUGAGAAAAAGAGAGCUGAGUAUUAGCUCAUCAAAGUACAAAACAAAAUCACCUGACAGGUUUUUUCUAAGUGCACUGUUAUAAAAACUAUGGGCCCUUUUAGACAUGUCCAUGUUUAUCAAAACUCCCUCUAUUAAAAAUAAAACAACAACCUCAAAAAUCUUCAACAAUCUGAAAUUUCACCCGUUCGACACACUGAAAACCUCGCCAAAAGCUGCACCGUUUCGUACACAACAAUAUCCCCCUUUAGGCACUUUACCAUACUCAGAUUCAGCCUAAGAUCUUACAACAAUGUGUCAACACUAAUUUAUAAACCUCCUAAUCAAAUUUGCACCUCUGAACAAUCUACCCCUCCUUUAAGGCCUCAAUCACACACACACAGCAAGCUCCUCUGUCCACAUUCACACGAGCUCUCAAACUUUUUCCAUACUCAGCCAUAUCUCAACAAUUUAACUUGGCACAAGAAAUACUUUUUAAACCUCAUGCCACUCAUUCAAUUAUUUUCAUUUUCUUUCUAUACUAAUCACUUGUUUUGAUCACUCAGUGCAAAAGCACUGCUGAGUCAC